GACGAACGCUGGCGGCGUGCCUAAUACAUGCAAGUCGAACGGAGUGGCGCACGGGUGAGUAAUAUAGAGCUAAUCUGCCCCUUGCUGGAGCACAACAGCUAGAAAUGACUUCUAAUACUCCAUAGAAAGGGAUGAGACUAUAUCGCAUUAGCGAGUCGGUGGGGUAACGGCCGACCGAGGCUAUGACGCGUAACUGGGCUGAGAGGAUGAUCAGUCAAAUUGGAACUGAGACACGGUUCAAACUCCUACGAGAGUCAGCAGUAGGGAAUAUUGCGCAAUGGGGGAGACCCUGACGGAGCAUCGCGGUGUGGAGGAUGACACGUUUCAGAGCAUAAACUCCUUUUGAUAGGGAAGCGGUACCUAACGAAUAAGCACCGGCUAACUCCGUGCCAGCAGCCGCGGUAAUUC
Molecule: ribosomal RNA, 408 nt
Filed under: uncultured bacterium
Lineage: Bacteria
Description: partial 16S ribosomal RNA
Rfam family: Bacterial small subunit ribosomal RNA
Source: RNAcentral